GAAUAUUGGACAAUGGGGGCAACCCUGAUCCAGCCAUGCCGCGUGUGUGAAGAAGGCCUCUUGGUUGUAAAGCACUUUAAGCAGUGAAGCAGACUCCAUGGUUAAUACCCAUGGACGAUGACAUUAGCUGCAGAAUAAGCACCGGCUAACUCUGGGCAGGCAGCCGCGGUAAUACAGAGGGUGCAAGCGUUAAUCGGAAUUACUGGGCGUAAAGCGAGCGUAGGUGGCUUGAUAAGUCGGAUGUGAAAGCCCCGGGCUUAACCUGGGAACGGCAUCUGAUACUGUUAGGCUAGAGUAGGUGAGAGGAAGGUAGAAUUCCAGGUGUAGCGGUGAAAUGCGUAGAGAUCUGGAGGAAUACCGAUGGCGAAGGCAGCCAUCUGGCCUAAUACUGACGCUGAGGUACGAAAGCAUGGGGAGCAAAC
Molecule: ribosomal RNA, 422 nt
Filed under: uncultured bacterium
Lineage: Bacteria
Description: bacterial SSU rRNA
Rfam family: Bacterial small subunit ribosomal RNA
Source: RNAcentral